RNAcentral lists this ribosomal RNA (273 nucleotides) under uncultured bacterium. Its description in RNAcentral is "partial 16S ribosomal RNA". It matches the Rfam family "Bacterial small subunit ribosomal RNA", at positions 524 to 796 of the family's 1533-position model. The record is from RNAcentral.
UACAGAGGGGGCAAGCGUUAUUCGGAAUUAUUGGGCGUAAAGGGCGCGUAGGCGGCCAUUCAAGUGACGGGUGAAAUCCCUCGGCUUAACCGAGGAACUGCCUGUCAGACUGGAUGGCUUGAGACCGGGAGAGGUGAGUGGAAUUCCCAGUGUAGCGGUGAAAUGCGUAGAUAUUGGGAGGAACACCAGUGGCGAAGGCGGCUCACUGGACCGGAACUGACGCUGAGGCGCGAAAGCGUGGGGAGCAAACAGGAUUAGAUACCCCCGUAGUCC